This is a long non-coding RNA of Sarcophilus harrisii (Tasmanian devil), 1984 nucleotides long. The record is from Ensembl. NCBI's taxonomy places the organism in Eukaryota, Metazoa, Chordata, Mammalia, Dasyuromorphia, Dasyuridae.
CUUUUAUUACAAUUCUAAUCAUUUCAGUUAAGGGACUUGUUUGAAGUCCCUUUUAGAAGGGAUUGAGAGAACUUUUGCCCAUCUCUGAUUCACUCUACCUAGUUGCCAACUCUGCCUACGGCAAUACUGCACCCCAAGAAAGAAGGGGAGGAUGUUUCAAAGAUAGGGGAGCAAUUUGCUGGGAUUCCGGUUAAAACAAAACAAAACUGGUUCCAUCCAAAGAGCCAAGAUCAGGGGUGGGGAGGAACAGAAGAGGGAAAGGAACGGUCAAGUUUUCUGAGUUUGUGGCGUUGCUCUUCUGAAAGCAGAGGGCAAGAGAAUAGCUGUGUACCUGGGAAAAGAAACUGGGACGAAGGAACAGUCCAAGGUGGCAGCGCGGGCAAGGCAACAAAGCAUGGACGCGAACGUGGCGGGGGAGCUAAACCCAGCCGGGCUAUGUCUGAUCCAGGCGACGAACUCUAGAGAGUUGCCAGUCUGCUCCUUCUGACCUCAGGUCCUCGGCCAUCGCAUAUUGUCGCACAGAGAUGGAAAACAAACCUCAGGAAAGAAGGAAACUUUUCCCCUAGCCCAGCCGGUGCGGGAAAGGGGAAGGUGUGCGGCAGCGGUGGCGCGAAACGGAGAGCUAGGGACCCGCAGCCCUGAGCGCGGGGACCGAUAACUUGCGGGUUCGGACGCCUGCCCUCGGUAGACCUGCAGACCCUGGAUCACAUAGCCCCAUUCAAAGUACAACGGAGAGAGGCGUCCUUAGGUUCCCAAUACCCCAAGAGCUAUCUAAUCUUCCUUCUUUGCUGCGGAGUCCAAACCCCGGCAGUUCGGGAUGUCUCUCCCCCUCCCCCCACCCCAACCCGAUCCAUUUCUGUAUAAAACCAAGUUAUCCUACAAGGGAUGCAACCACCAAGAGGGCCUUGGGAUGUAGGGGAACGAAGAGAAGGGGGCUGGUUCCUAUUUUGCAUUCGUGUGGACUGUCUCCUACGGAGUUUAUAGGAGUCUUUCAAAAUGGUCAGGCUCCCUCUCUUCAUCACGGGGUUGAGGGAAAGUGGGAGGAAGAUGAGGUUAUUUAAAGCUCAUUUGCUACCAGUACAAAAUGUUCCAGCUCUCCCUCUCCUGUCUCGGCGCGCCUCUGCCCAGCCUUUGAUAUUUAAGACCGGCAAGAUCUCCCAUGAAACUACCUGUUAAGGGAACGAGUGACACCGCAUUCUUAAGGGCUCGUCAUGUCUUAAAAAAAGAAAAGAAAAAAAGUCAAUCACAUUCUUUUGAGAGGGGGUUGUUCUUGAGGUGGCACCGGGAGGGUGCCCCGUGGGUGGGGAAGAGAAGCAGCAGAGGCAUGUAAGCACUGCUGUCCAUCAGCCGCCCAUCCAAACUGUCCCCAAUCCGUCCCCGCUCGGCUCCAUUCCUGAGCACCAGCCCGGACUAUCCUCGCUAGUUCGUACGGACAUUGGCCGCACUGAAGGGCACGAACAUGUCCCUAGAAUGCUAGCUUUGGGGGACGACUCGAGAUUCCUAGUUGACUUUGGCAGAGCGGGUUUCCUGACUUGACAAAAACCAAAACCAAAACCGCCUCCCCUAGUUAGGGCUUUCCUUCCUCAGCCCCGAGCCAGCUCCCCAAGCUUAAGAAGCCAGUCAGGUGAAUUGCUCGAGUUUGAAUUCAACUGUUUUCUUGACAUUUCGGAAAACUUCGAUCACGUUGUUCCUGAAGCUUAAUCUAUUAAUUUGUUAAAUCUAUCAUUUUGUGUCCUUAAAUACAAAGGAAAAAAAUCAUAGAGCUAUUGGGAGGGAGGGAGGAAGGAGUGGUACAAAUCUUAUUUUCAAUAUCGUUUUAUCCAGUUUCCUUUGAUAUUUUCACCUCGUACUUCGCAACAUUAUUUGUAUUAUUUUUGGUCCUGACUUAGGUUACGACAUAAUUUGCCAGUAGCUGAUGCAUUGGAUCUGGGUGGUUUAAAGCAAUAAAAUAAAAUAAAACCCUAGUCUGUGAAGACUAUCUGGA